CCUCUGCGCUGUCCGUCGCACUUACGUUCUUCCGAUUUUGCUUUGUGAUUUUAUGUUAAUUUCACCCACUCGCAACACCCGAUGGUAGGGAAGUUCUUAUCAAGUCGAAACAUGUGAUCGAAGUCCCUGAAGUGGCUCGUGGCUCAGUGUAUGAUCGGUUCAAAGGGUCGCAACUCCGUGAGUGCCGUAGCAGCUUUAGUCCGUGCAUCUUCGCGCAUAGCCCUCAGUUUGAGUUUCAACAUGACGACUUUCGAAACGUUGAAGUUCGACAACUUGGCGUUACGGCGGUUGCCGAUCGACACAGAAAGUAGGAAUUACGUGCGCACGGUUCGCGGAGCCUGUUUUUCGCGAGUUAUGCCGACUCCCUUGAAGUCUCCGGAGAUGGUGGUGGUUUCCGAAGACGCGAUGCUGCUACUGGAUUUGGACCGCGCGCAGUUCGAAAGGUCGGACGCAGCCGAGUACUUCUCCGGAAACAAACUUCUCCCCGGUUCCGAACCGGCAGCGCACUGUUACUGCGGCCAUCAGUUCGGCUACUUCUCUGGACAGCUGGGCGAUGGUGCCGCCAUGUACUUGGGUGAAGUGAUCAACCAGAAAGGAGAACGCUGGGAGAUCCAGCUGAAAGGAGCCGGUUUGACGCCCUACUCUCGAUCCGCUGACGGCCGGAAGGUGCUCCGAAGCUCCAUACGUGAAUUCCUCUGCAGUGAGGCAAUGCACCACCUUGGCAUUCCUACUACACGAGCAGGGACGUGCAUCUCGUCGGAGACUCUGGUGUCGCGCGACAUGUUCUACGACGGACAUCCCAAGGAUGAGAAAUGUUCCGUCAUUCUUCGUAUUGCCCCUACGUUCCUCAGGUUCGGAUCCUUCGAGAUAUUUAAGACAUUGGAUCAGUUCACGGGAAGGGUGGGCCCAAGUGUCGGUCGGAAGGAUAUUCUCAUUCAGCUGCUUGACUAUUCCGUCGAAACCUUCUUUCCAAAGAUCUACCUUGAGCAUGGCAAUGAUAAGGAAAAGAUGUACAUCGAGUUCUUCAAAGAAGUGAUUAAGAGCACUGCAUCUCUUGUUGCUAAAUGGCAAUGUGUGGGAUUUUGUCAUGGUGUAUUGAACACCGACAACAUGAGCAUCCUGGGCUUGACACUCGAUUACGGUCCUUUUGGUUUUAUGGAUCGGUUUAAUCCCGAUCACAUCUGCAACACAUCAGAUGAUGGGGGAAGGUAUACCUACAUAAAGCAGCCAGAAAUUUGCCUUUGGAAUUUGAGAAAAUUUGCGGAAGCAAUACAGGGGGCUGUACCACUUUCAAAGACACUUCCGCUGUUGGAUGCAUAUUCUCUGGAGUAUGAAACCUGUUUUCUGGCAGAAAUAAGGAACAAGUUUGGACUCUUUCAGAAAGACCCAGCAGAAGACAAAGUGCUCAUCACAUCCUUUUAUGACGCGAUGGAGGCUACAGGAGCGGACUUCACACGGUCAUUUCGAUGCCUGAGCACCCUGUGCGUGCCUGGCCACGACCAGCAUGAAUCCAGCAAGGAUGCCCUGAAGGCAGCCUUACUGUCCUGCUGCAGCACACACAGCGACCUGAUGACUCACUUCAGGACACUCUCUAGCACAAGGGACUUCCAGUUGUUCCUCAUACUGUCCCAGUCCAACCCUGAGCUCCUCGAACAAUUGGGAAAAGGGGUUCUCGCAAAGGAGAGAAUCAUGGCACAGAUUGAAAAGGGAAAAGAACUGAAGGAUAUGACGGCAGAGGAGAUGGAGAAGAAGAAUGCCCAGGUGUGGACAGAAUGGAUAGAGAAGUACUCGAGAAGACUCGCUGCUGAGGCUAAAGACCACAGUGACUUGCAGGGGUUGCAAGAGCAGAGGGUGCAGUUGAUGAACAGCCAUAACCCGAGUACCUUUCCGAUGUGUACAAAUCCACAGCCCAGCGUGCGAUCUUCACAGCCCUGCACGCACGGGCUCGCAUCUUAGGAAAGCGAGGAAAACGUGGGCCCUACGCACAAACUCCGAAGAUGGCGCCUGCAGGAAGCUCCUUAAGGGAACGAUUUGUACUGAGGAACCAUGUUGCGCAACGAGCCAUUGACAUGGCUGAAAAAGGGGACUACUCUGAAGUGCACAAAGUGCUCAAGAUACUGCAGCAUCC
This 2128-nucleotide unclassified non-coding RNA is filed under the name Ixodes scapularis (black-legged tick). RNAcentral's name for it is "protein adenylyltransferase SelO, mitochondrial, transcript variant X4". Lineage: Eukaryota; Metazoa; Arthropoda; Arachnida; Ixodida; Ixodidae. The record is from RNAcentral.